CGCAGGCGCUGUUACCGGCAUCCGCCAUCUUUGUUAUUUCGGGUUGAGUUUACGAGGAAACAAUCUCCAAUAGCCAUCAUGUCGAUCGCAAGGCCUCAGAUGCGUGGUUUGCUGAAAUCUAAAAUCAAGCGUGAUCUCACGAUUGCACUUAUUGCUGGGCUUGCUGCUGCUGCCUGUGUGAAAUUUGGAUAUGCAGAAAGAAAAAAGCAGACAUACGCAAAUUUUUACAGAGAUUAUGAUGACAGGAAAGCGUUUGAGCACAUGAACUCAAUGGGUGUGUUCCAUGCAACCAGACCCAAAAAGGAUGACUGAUGGAAUUUCCUCGCUCCAAUAUCUGCACUAGUCAGCCCAAGACGUUUUACUGUGUGCUAUUAUUUGUAACUUGAAACUUUUAUUAUGGUUCAUCUGAAACAAUUAACAUAACAAACUGAGUCAUGUCCUUUGAUUAUUUGUUGUCUGUAUUUACUUUCAGACUAGUUGUGAAUAAAUCCAAAAGUUAAUUUUAAACACAA
This is a long non-coding RNA of Saccoglossus kowalevskii, 512 nucleotides long. The record is from RefSeq and is a predicted model, not a curated record. NCBI's taxonomy places the organism in Eukaryota, Metazoa, Hemichordata, Enteropneusta, Harrimaniidae.